Molecule: long non-coding RNA, 455 nt
Filed under: Sinocyclocheilus grahami
Lineage: Eukaryota; Metazoa; Chordata; Actinopteri; Cypriniformes; Cyprinidae
Description: lncRNA (ENSSGRG00000024646.1)
Source: RNAcentral
GCCUUCAUCCAGCAGAGCCAGGCCCUCCAGGCGCCCGCUGUGGUGCUGACCAGCUCUAACACGGCUGGUGCCACCGCCACAGCUCCCCGCACGCUCAUCCAGCCUGCCCUCAGCAACUCCAGCCAGACUGCCUCUCUGGUAUUGCAGCCUCCACAGCAGGGGGCAAUAGUGAAGCCCCCUCAGGUAACCCUGACAACCACUCCCAUGGUGACGCUCAGGGGUCAACCCCACAGCCACAUAGUGGUGGGUCAGCCUCAGGUGCAGCUGAAACAUAUCCAGACAGUCGCUGUGAAGCAUGGUGUUGUGAGUAGCACCAAACUGGCUCCGGGCUCUGUGUCUGUAGCGUUAGCUCAGAAGAAUAAAACAAAGGAUGGUGCUGGAGGAACUUUCAGGUUUGUGUUGUGUUCAUUUCACUUUAACGUUUACCCAGGAGACAUUGUGCACAACAUACAUGA